GACGAACGCUGGCGGCGUGCCUAAUACAUGCAAGUCGAACGGAAAGGCUCCAGCUUGCUGGCUCAGUCGAGUGCCGCACGGGUGAGAAAAACGCGGGUAAUCCGCACUUCACUUCGGGGUAAGCCUUCGAAACUGCGUCUCAUACCGCAUAGGAUAGCUUUUUGGUGUGUGUGGUGGAAUGGAUUUGCUGGUGUGUGAUGAGCUGGCGGCCUAACAGUUUGUUUGUGGGGUUAUGGCAUACAAAGGCGGCCACGGGCAGCCGGCCUGAGGGGGUGGACGGUCACAUAGAGACUGAGAGACGGCCGAGGCUCCGACUGGAGGCAGCAGUGGGGAAUAUUGACCGAUGAGGGAAGCCCGAAUGCAGCGACGCCGCGUGGGGGAUGAAGGCGUUCGGGUUGUAGACUCCUUUCGCUAGGAACGAAGCUUUUUGUGACGGUACCUAGAGAAGAAGCACCGGCUAACUACGUG
This 468-nucleotide ribosomal RNA is filed under the name uncultured bacterium. Its description in RNAcentral is "partial 16S ribosomal RNA". It matches the Rfam family "Bacterial small subunit ribosomal RNA", at positions 28 to 507 of the family's 1533-position model. The record is from RNAcentral.